CUCUUCCACGGAUUUGAAGCAACAGGUGUUCAUCCUUCUUCCCCUCAGCAGCACGAAGGAGUUGAUCUGCUGUGGUAAACAAAGUUUAUACUCAGGCAUGCAACAGGCAGGAGGUGUGGAGCCCUUUUGGGUUGUUCUGGGCCACUUGAAGAGCGCAGAACCCGAACCUUGGAUGGAGCACCAUCACUGGUAUCUGGCAGCGGUUCUUCUGAACAUUGUAAUGGCACUAAAAUGUAAGUUACAAGUGAUCAAUAAAUGGAAAUGAUCUAAAUUCACAUUGUUUCUAACAAUUGUAAAUAAAUUAAAAAUCAUA
Molecule: long non-coding RNA, 313 nt
Organism: Acanthochromis polyacanthus (spiny chromis)
Lineage: Eukaryota; Metazoa; Chordata; Actinopteri; Pomacentridae
Exons: 2
Source: RefSeq, a predicted model, not a curated record